This 492-nucleotide ribosomal RNA is filed under the name uncultured bacterium. RNAcentral describes it as "partial 16S ribosomal RNA". It matches the Rfam family "Bacterial small subunit ribosomal RNA", at positions 29 to 507 of the family's 1533-position model. The record is from RNAcentral.
AGUGAACGCUGGCGGUAGGCCUAACACAUGCAAGUCGAACGGCAGCACAGUAAGAGCUUGCUCUUACGGGUGGCGAGUGGCGGACGGGUGAGGAAUACAUCGGAAUCUACUUUUUCGUGGGGGAUAACGUAGGGAAACUUACGCUAAUACCGCAUACGACCUACGGGUGAAAGCAGGGGAUCUUCGGACCUUGCGCGAUUGAAUGAGCCGAUGUCGGAUUAGCUAGUUGGCGGGGUAAAGGCCCACCAAGGCGACGAUCCGUAGCUGGUCUGAGAGGAUGAUCAGGCCAACGGGAAAUGAGGAACGGGCCAGACCCCUACGGGGGGGAGGAGGGGGGAAUAUUGGACAAUGGGGGGAAGCCUGAUCCCGCCCUUCCGGGGGGGUUAAGAAGGGCUUUGGGUUUUAAAACCCUUUUUGUUGGGAAAAAAAGGAGUAAGGUUAAUCCCCCCUUUUUUGACGGGUCCCAAAAAAUAAACCCCCGCUAAAUUUGUG